AAUAUCUUUCAUUGGACCAGCUUCAGUUGGUGAAAAAGAAGCUCUUGAGCGUAUACAGAACUCCUCUUCAGGUCAGCUUAACUAUGAUGACAAGUACUGG
This is a non-coding RNA of Chelonoidis abingdonii (Abingdon island giant tortoise), 100 nucleotides long. Lineage: Eukaryota; Metazoa; Chordata; Testudines; Testudinidae. The record is from RefSeq and is a predicted model, not a curated record.